Molecule: ribosomal RNA, 451 nt
Filed under: uncultured bacterium
Lineage: Bacteria
Description: partial 16S ribosomal RNA
Rfam family: Bacterial small subunit ribosomal RNA
Source: RNAcentral
GUGGGGAAUAUUGGACAAUGGGCGGAAGCCUGAUCCAGCCAUGCCGCGUGUGUGAAGAAGGCCUUUUGGUUGUAAAGCACUUUAAGCGAGGAGGAGGCUCCUUUAGUUAAUACCUAAAGUGAGUGGACGUUACUCGCAGAAUAAGCACCGGCUAACUCUGUGCCAGCAGCCGCGGUAAUACAGAGGGUGCGAGCGUUAAUCGGAUUUACUGGGCGUAAAGCGUGCGUAGGCGGCUUUUUAAGUCGGAUGUGAAAUCCCUGAGCUUAACUUAGGAAUUGCAUUCGAUACUGGAAAGCUAGAGUAUGGGAGAGGAUGGUAGAAUUCCAGGUGUAGCGGUGAAAUGCGUAGAGAUCUGGAGGAAUACCGAUGGCGAAGGCAGCCAUCUGGCCUAAUACUGACGCUGAGGUACGAAAGCAUGGGGAGCAAACAGGAUUAGAUACCCUAGUAGUCC